RNAcentral lists this ribosomal RNA (931 nucleotides) under Streptococcus parauberis. Its description in RNAcentral is "bacterial SSU rRNA". It matches the Rfam family "Bacterial small subunit ribosomal RNA", at positions 54 to 967 of the family's 1533-position model. The record is from RNAcentral. Lineage: Bacteria; Bacillati; Bacillota; Bacilli; Lactobacillales; Streptococcaceae.
CAUGCAGUAGAACGCUGAAGACUGGUGCUUGCACUAGUCAGAUGAGUUGCGAACGGGUGAGUAACGCGUAGGUAACCUACCUCAUAGCGGGGGAUAACUAUUGGAAACGAUAGCUAAUACCGCAUGACAAUUAAGUACUCAUGUACUAAAUUUAAAAGGAGCAAUUGCUUCACUAUGAGAUGGACCUGCGUUGUAUUAGCUAGUUGGUGAGGUAACGGCUCACCAAGGCCACGAUACAUAGCCGACCUGAGAGGGUGAUCGGCCACACUGGGACUGAGACACGGCCCAGACUCCUACGGGAGGCAGCAGUAGGGAAUCUUCGGCAAUGGGGGCAACCCUGACCGAGCAACGCCGCGUGAGUGAAGAAGGUUUUCGGAUCGUAAAGCUCUGUUGUUAGAGAAGAACGGUAAUGGGAGUGGAAAAUCCAUUACGUGACGGUAACUAACCAGAAAGGGACGGCUAACUACGUGCCAGCAGCCGCGGUAAUACGUAGGUCUCGAGCGUUGUCCGGAUUUAUUGGGCGUAAAGCGAGCGCAGGCGGUUAUUUAAGUCUGAAGUUAAAGGCCGUGGCUCAACCAUGGUUCGCUUUGGAAACUGGAUAACUUGAGUGCAGAAGGGGAGAGUGGAAUUCCAUGUGUAGCGGUGAAAUGCGUAGAUAUAUGGAGGAACACCGGUGGCGAAAGCGGCUCUCUGGUCUGUAACUGACGCUGAGGCUCGAAAGCGUGGGGAGCAAACAGGAUUAGAUACCCUGGUAGUCCACGCCGUAAACGAUGAGUGCUAGGUGUUAGGCCCUUUCCGGGGCUUAGUGCCGCAGCUAACGCAUUAAGCACUCCGCCUGGGGAGUACGACCGCAAGGUUGAAACUCAAAGGAAUUGACGGGGGGCCCGCACAAGCGGUGGAGCAUGUGGUUUAAUUCGAAGCAACGCGAAGA